RNAcentral lists this ribosomal RNA (442 nucleotides) under uncultured bacterium. RNAcentral's name for it is "bacterial SSU rRNA". It matches the Rfam family "Bacterial small subunit ribosomal RNA", at positions 29 to 506 of the family's 1533-position model. The record is from RNAcentral.
ACGAACGCUGGCGGCAUGCCUUAUACAUGCAAGUCGAACGCGAAAGUGUCUUCGGACAUUAGUAGAGUGGCAAACGGGUGAGUAACGCGUGGGAAUAUACCUUAUAGUAUGGAAUAGCCUCGGGAAACUGGGAUUAAUACCAUAUACGCCCUUCGGGGGAAAGAUUUAUCGCUAUAGGAUUAGCCCGCGUAAGAUUAGCUAGUUGGUGGGGUAAUGGCCUACCAAGGCAACGAUCUUUAGCUGGUCUGAGAGGACGAUCAGCCACAUUGGGACUGAGACACGGCCCAAACUCCUACGGGAGGCAGCAGUAGGGAAUAUUGGACAAUGGGCGAAAGCCUGAUCCAGCAAUGCCGCGUGAGUGAUGAAGGCCUUAGGGUUGUAAAGCUCUUUUAGUGGGGAAGAUAAUGGCGGUACCCACAGAAUAAGCACCGGCUAACUUCGU